UUACGGCCACAUCAUGUUGAAACACCGGUUCCCGUACGAUUACCGAAGCAACGUUUAGCCUGGUCAGUACCUGGAUGGGUGACCUCUUGGGAAUACCAGGUACUGUAA
Non-coding RNA from Acanthosepion pharaonis, 108 nucleotides. The record is from the annotation of a GenBank genome assembly. Lineage: Eukaryota; Metazoa; Mollusca; Cephalopoda; Sepiida; Sepiidae.